GACGAACGCUGGCGGCGUGCUUAACACAUGCAAGUCGAACGGAAAGGCCCUGCUUUUGUGGGGUGCUCGAGUGGCGAACGGGUGAGUAACACGUGAGUAACCUGCCCUUGACUUUGGGAUAACUUCAGGAAACUGGGGCUAAUACCGGAUAGGAGCUCCUGCUGCAUGGUGGGGGUUGGAAAGUUUCGGCGGUUGGGGAUGGACUCGCGGCUUAUCAGCUUGUUGGUGGGGUAGUGGCUUACCAAGGCUUUGACGGGUAGCCGGCCUGGGUGGGUGACCGGCCACAUUGGGACUGAGAUACGGCCCAGACUCCUACGGGAGGCAGCAGUGGGGAAUAUUGCACAAUGGGCGGAAGCCUGAUGCAGCAACGCCGCGUGCGGGAUGACGGCCUUCGGGUUGUAAACCGCUUUCGCCUGUGACGAAGCGUGAGUGACGGUAAUGGGUAAAGAAGCACCGGCUAACUACGUG
RNAcentral lists this ribosomal RNA (468 nucleotides) under uncultured bacterium. RNAcentral's name for it is "partial 16S ribosomal RNA". It matches the Rfam family "Bacterial small subunit ribosomal RNA", at positions 28 to 507 of the family's 1533-position model. The record is from RNAcentral.